RNAcentral lists this ribosomal RNA (161 nucleotides) under Ilex glabra (inkberry). RNAcentral's name for it is "5.8S ribosomal RNA". The stretch from base 1 to 141 matches the Rfam family "5.8S ribosomal RNA". Rfam says of the family: 5.8S ribosomal RNA (5.8S rRNA) is a component of the large subunit of the eukaryotic ribosome. Lineage: Eukaryota; Viridiplantae; Streptophyta; Magnoliopsida; Aquifoliales; Aquifoliaceae. The record is from RNAcentral.
AUAUCUCGGCUCUCGCAUCGAUGAAGAACGUAGCGAAAUGCGAUACUUGGUGUGAAUUGCAGAAUCCCGUGAACCAUCGAGUUUUUGAACGCAAGUUGCGCCCAAAGCCAUUAGGCUAAGGGCACGUCUGCCUGGGCGUCACGCAUCACGUCGCCCCCAAC